GAUCAUGGCUCAGAUUGAACGCUGGCGGAAUGCUUUACACAUGCAAGUCGAACGGUAGAGGGGGCAACCCCUCGAGAGUGGCGAACGGGUGAGUAAUAUAUCGGAACGUGCCCAGUCGUGGGGGAUAACGUAGCGAAAGUUACGCUAAUACCGCAUACGAUCUAAGGAUGAAAGCGGGGGACCGUAAGGCCUCGCGCGAUUGGAGCGGCCGAUAUCAGAUUAGGUAGUUGGUGGGGUAAAGGCUCACCAAGCCAACGAUCUGUAGCUGGUCUGAGAGGACGACCAGCCACACUGGAACUGAGACACGGUCCAGACUCCUACGGGAGGCAGCAGUGGGGAAUUUUGGACAAUGGACGCAAGUCUGAUCCAGCCAUUCCGCGUGCAGGAUGAAGGCCCUCGGGUUGUAAACUGCUUUUGUACGGAACGAAAAGGUUUCUCUUAAUACGAGGAGCUCAUGACGGUACCGUAAGAAUAAGCACCGGCUAACUACGUG
RNAcentral lists this ribosomal RNA (493 nucleotides) under uncultured bacterium. RNAcentral describes it as "bacterial SSU rRNA". It matches the Rfam family "Bacterial small subunit ribosomal RNA", at positions 15 to 507 of the family's 1533-position model. The record is from RNAcentral.